This 273-nucleotide ribosomal RNA is filed under the name uncultured Enterobacteriaceae bacterium. RNAcentral describes it as "partial 16S ribosomal RNA". It matches the Rfam family "Bacterial small subunit ribosomal RNA", at positions 355 to 618 of the family's 1533-position model. Lineage: Bacteria; Pseudomonadati; Pseudomonadota; Gammaproteobacteria; Enterobacterales; Enterobacteriaceae. The record is from RNAcentral.
UGGGGAAUAUUGCACAAUGGGCGCAAGCCUGAUGCAGCCAUGCCGCGUGUAUGAAGAAGGCCUUCGGGUUGUAAAGUACUUUCAGCGAGGAGGAAGGGGGAGUGGUUAAUAACCAUUUUCAUUUGACGUUACUCGCAGAAGAAGCACCGGCUAACUCCGUGCCAGCAGCCGCGGUAAAUACGGAGGGUGCAAGCGUUAAUCGGAAUUACUGGGCGUAAAGCGCACGCAGGCGGUCUGUCAAGUCGGAUGUGAAAUCCCCGGGCUCAACCUGGG